This 1263-nucleotide ribosomal RNA is filed under the name bacterium SRMC-27-9. Its description in RNAcentral is "bacterial SSU rRNA". It matches the Rfam family "Bacterial small subunit ribosomal RNA", at positions 111 to 1385 of the family's 1533-position model. The record is from RNAcentral.
UAACACGUGAGUAACCUGCCCUUGACUCUGGGAUAAGCCUGGGAAACUGGGUCUAAUACCGGAUACGACCAUCUGGCGCAUGUCRUGGUGGUGGAAAGCUUUUGCGGUUUUGGAUGGACUCGCGGCCUAUCAGCUUGUUGGUGGGGUAAUGGCCUACCAAGGCGACGACGGGUAGCCGGCCUGAGAGGGUGACCGGCCACACUGGGACUGAGACACGGCCCAGACUCCUACGGGAGGCAGCAGUGGGGAAUAUUGCACAAUGGGCGGAAGCCUGAUGCAGCGACGCCGCGUGAGGGAUGACGGCCUUCGGGUUGUAAACCUCUUUCAGUAGGGAAGAAGCGAAAGUGACGGUACCUGCAGAAGAAGCGCCGGCUAACUACGUGCCAGCAGCCGCGGUAAUACGUAGGGCGCAAGCGUUAUCCGGAAUUAUUGGGCGUAAAGAGCUCGUAGGCGGUUUGUCGCGUCUGCUGUGAAAGACCGGGGCUCAACUCCGGUUCUGCAGUGGGUACGGGCAGACUAGAGUGAUGUAGGGGAGACUGGAAUUCCUGGUGUAGCGGUGAAAUGCGCAGAUAUCAGGAGGAACACCGAUGGCGAAGGCAGGUCUCUGGGCAUUAACUGACGCUGAGGAGCGAAAGCAUGGGGAGCGAACAGGAUUAGAUACCCUGGUAGUCCAUGCCGUAAACGUUGGGCACUAGGUGUGGGGGACAUUCCACGUUUUCCGCGCCGUAGCUAACGCAUUAAGUGCCCCGCCUGGGGAGUACGGCCGCAAGGCUAAAACUCAAAGGAAUUGACGGGGGCCCGCACAAGCGGCGGAGCAUGCGGAUUAAUUCGAUGCAACGCGAAGAACCUUACCAAGGCUUGACAUGAACCGGUAACGCCUGGAAACAGGUGCCCCGCUUGCGGUCGGUUUACAGGUGGUGCAUGGUUGUCGUCAGCUCGUGUCGUGAGAUGUUGGGUUAAGUCCCGCAACGAGCGCAACCCUCGUUCUAUGUUGCCAGCGCGUGAUGGCGGGGACUCAUAGGAGACUGCCGGGGUCAACUCGGAGGAAGGUGGGGACGACGUCAAAUCAUCAUGCCCCUUAUGUCUUGGGCUUCACGCAUGCUACAAUGGCCGGUACAAAGGGUUGCGAUACUGUGAGGUGGAGCUAAUCCCAAAAAGCCGGUCUCAGUUCGGAUUGGGGUCUGCAACUCGACCCCAUGAAGUCGGAGUCGCUAGUAAUCGCAGAUCAGCAACGCUGCGGUGAAUACGUUCCCGGGCCUUGUA